AAAGAAAGAGGGGGGCAUGCCUAACACAUGCAAGUCGAACGAUGCUUUCGGGCAUAGUGGCGCACGGGUGCGUAACGCGUGGGAAUCUGCCCUUGGGUUCGGAAUCACAGUGAGAAAUUGCUGCUAAUACCGGAUGAUGUCUUCGGACCAAAGAUUUAUCGCCCAGGGAUGAGCCCGCGUAGGAUUCGCUAGUUGGUGGGGUAAUGGCCUACCAAGGCGUCGAUCCUUAGCUGGUCUGGUGGGAUGAUCAACCACACUGGGGCUGCGGCACGGCCCAGACUCGAAGGGAAGGGAGCAGUGGAGAGUAUAGGACGAUGGGGGCUAGCCUGAUACAGCAGUGCAGCGGAAGAGAUGAAGGCCGUAGGGAUGUAAAGCUAUUUUAGCCGGGAUGAUAAUGACAGUGCCGGGAAGAGAAGCGCCGGCUAACAACGUG
This 433-nucleotide ribosomal RNA is filed under the name uncultured bacterium. RNAcentral describes it as "partial 16S ribosomal RNA". It matches the Rfam family "Bacterial small subunit ribosomal RNA", at positions 38 to 507 of the family's 1533-position model. The record is from RNAcentral.